This 411-nucleotide ribosomal RNA is filed under the name uncultured bacterium. RNAcentral describes it as "bacterial SSU rRNA". It matches the Rfam family "Bacterial small subunit ribosomal RNA", at positions 28 to 440 of the family's 1533-position model. The record is from RNAcentral.
GACGAACGCUGGCGGCGUGCUUAACACAUGCAAGUCGAGCGGUAAGGCCCCUUCGGGGGUACACGAGCGGCGAACGGGUGAGUAACACGUGGGUGACCUGUCCUCAGCUCUGGGAUAAGCCUGGGAAACCGGGUCUAAUACCGGAUAUGACUCCAUGACGCAUGUUGUGGGGUGGAAAGCCUUGUGCGGCUGAGGAUGGGCCCGCGGCCUAUCAGCUUGUUGGUGGGGUGAUGGCCUACCAAGGCGACGACGGGUAGCCGGCCUGAGAGGGCGACCGGCCACACUGGGACUGAGACACGGCCCAGACUCCUACGGGAGGCAGCAGUGGGGAAUAUUGGACAAUGGGCGCAAGCCUGAUCCAGCGAUGCCGCGUGUGUGAAGAAGGCCUGCGGGUUGUAAAGCACUUUCAGU